This 277-nucleotide ribosomal RNA is filed under the name uncultured bacterium. RNAcentral's name for it is "partial 16S ribosomal RNA". It matches the Rfam family "Bacterial small subunit ribosomal RNA", at positions 30 to 308 of the family's 1533-position model. The record is from RNAcentral.
AUUGAACGCUGGCGGCAUGCCUUACACAUGCAAGUCGAACGCGAAAGCGGGGCAACCCGCAAGUAGAGUGGCGAACGGGUGAGUAAUACAUCGGAACGUGCCCAGUAGCGGGGGAUAACCUCUCGAAAGAGAGGCUAAUACCGCAUACGACCUAUGGGUGAAAGAGGGGGAUCGCAAGACCUCUCACUAUUGGAGCGGCCGAUGUCGGAUUAGCUAGUUGGCGGGGUAACGGCCCACCAAGGCGACGAUCCGUAGCUGGUCUGAGAGGACGGCCAGC